UGAGUACAGCGGCGCACGGGUGAGUAACACGUGGGUAAUCUGCCCUAGAGUGGGGAAUAACACCGGGAAACCGGUGCUAAUACCGCAUACGAUCACGAUGUCUGCGGACGUUGUGAUGAAAGGAGCAAUUCGCUCUUGGAGGAGCCCGCGGCUGAUUAGCUAGUUGGUAAGGUAAUGGCUUACCAAGGCUACGAUCAGUAUCCGGUCUGAGAGGACGGUCGGACACACUGGAACUGAGACACGGUCCAGACUCCUACGGGAGGCAGCAGUGGGGAAUUUUUCGCAAUGGGGGCAACCCUGACGAAGCAACGCCGCGUGGGUGAUGGAGUAUCUCGGUACGUAAAACCCUUUCGACGGGGAAGAAAACCGCAAGGUUUGACGGUACCCGUAGAAGAAGCCCCGGCUAACUCCGUGCCAGCAGCCGCGGUAAUACGGGGGGGGCAAGCGUUGUUCGGAAUUACUGGGCGUAAAGGGCGCGUAGGCGGUUUGCUAAGUUGAAUGUGAAAACUCUGGGCUUAACCCAGAGCCUGCAUUCAAUACUGGCAGGCUAGAGUUCUGGAGGGGAUAGCGGAAUUCCUGGUGUAGCGGUGAAAUGCGUAGAUAUCAGGAGGAACACCGGUGGCGAAGGCGGCUAUCUGGACAGAGUCUGACGCUGAGGCGCGAAAGCUAGGGGAGCAAACAGGAUUAGAUACCCUGGUAGUCCUAGCCCUAAACGAUGGAUACUUGCUGU
This 730-nucleotide ribosomal RNA is filed under the name uncultured bacterium. RNAcentral describes it as "bacterial SSU rRNA". It matches the Rfam family "Bacterial small subunit ribosomal RNA", at positions 87 to 823 of the family's 1533-position model. The record is from RNAcentral.